GAGGGAUUGAGGAGGUGAUCUAGUGAAGAGGAGGGCAACAAAGCCUUAAAUUAAACACAUACCAGAGAUGGCAAAAAUAAGAUGUAGAAAUUGAGAGCUAUUUAGAUGGCAAAGGGAUGGACCAGUAGAAAUAGGAAGAAUGAAGACACAGUCAUUAGGAUGACAUCCCAGAGAAAAAGAGGAGGUGGGAUUCACUGCAAAGUGAAGAGAGGACUCUUCCAAAGAAAAGAGACACCCCUUCUGCUCCAUCAGGGGAGAAGCUGGGAGAGAAUCUACCCAUGAGGAUGACCAAGCAGCCUGCUCUGAGACGGAGAGUCUUGAGGACAAAGAGGGGACAGAAAGCAGAGGAGAAGCUAAAGACAGGCAGAGCUCCUGGACAAAGAAGGAAGAACAUUCAGUGAAAGGAGAGCACAAGGAAAGAAGAAAAACCAGCUGUGAGUUUCUCUCCACGAAGCUUUCUUCCAGGACUGGAAGCACUCUUACUGCAUUCCUCCCCCGAAGCCACACUAAGGAAUUCUGUCAACAUUGUAAAGAAGUCCAGAUUGA
This is a long non-coding RNA of Zalophus californianus (California sea lion), 546 nucleotides long. RefSeq lists it as uncharacterized. The record is from RefSeq and is a predicted model, not a curated record. Lineage: Eukaryota; Metazoa; Chordata; Mammalia; Carnivora; Otariidae. The transcript is spliced from 4 exons.